This 147-nucleotide unclassified non-coding RNA is filed under the name uncultured Mycosphaerellaceae. The record is from RNAcentral. Lineage: Eukaryota; Fungi; Ascomycota; Dothideomycetes; Mycosphaerellales; Mycosphaerellaceae.
CUGAGUUCGGGGGCAAUCCCAGUCCCGACCUCCAACCCUUUGUGAACAUAUCUUGUUGCUUCGGGGGCGACCUUGCCGUUCGCGGCAUUCCCCCCGGAGGUCAUCAAAACACUGCAUUAUUACGUCGGAGUUUAAGUAAAUUAAACA